Molecule: ribosomal RNA, 449 nt
Filed under: uncultured bacterium
Lineage: Bacteria
Description: bacterial SSU rRNA
Rfam family: Bacterial small subunit ribosomal RNA
Source: RNAcentral
AACCGGAGUGGCGCAAGGGUGCGUAACACGUGGGUAAUUGCCAUGAAGUUGGGAUAACUCGCUGAAAGGCGAGCUAAUACCGGAUGUGACUGUCGGGAGGCAUCUACCUGACAGUUAAAGCUGGGGACCGAAAGGCCUGACGCUUCAUGAUGAACCCGCGGCCUAUCAGCUAGUUGGUGAGGUAACGGCCCACCAAGGCUAAGACGGGUAGCUGGUCUGAGAGGACGACCAGCCACACUGGAACUGAGACACGGUCCAGACACCUACGGGUGGCAGCAGUCGAGAAUUUUUCACAAUGGGGGAAACCCUGAUGGAGCGACGCCGCGUGGGGAUGAAUGGCCUUCGGCCCGUAAACCCCUGUCAUUUGCGAACAAACCUUGUCUGGUAACAUCAGAUGAGCUGAUUGUAGCGAAAGAGGAAGGGACGGCUAACUCUGUGCCAGCAGCAGC